RNAcentral lists this ribosomal RNA (431 nucleotides) under uncultured bacterium. RNAcentral's name for it is "bacterial SSU rRNA". It matches the Rfam family "Bacterial small subunit ribosomal RNA", at positions 77 to 518 of the family's 1533-position model. The record is from RNAcentral.
CGGCAGCGAAGAGAAUGACUUAGUGGCGGACGGGUGAGUAACGCGUGGGUAACCUGCCUCAAGGCUGGGGGAUAACACGUUAGAAAUGACUGCUAAUACCGCAUAAGACCCCGGUACCGCAUGGUACAGAGGUAAAAAGAUUUAUCGGCCUGAGAUGGACCCGCGUCUGAUUAGCUAGUUGGUGAGGUAACGGCCCACCAAGGCUGCGAUCAGUAGCCGACCUGAGAGGGUGAUCGGCCACAUUGGGACUGAGACACGGCCCAAACUCCUACGGGAGGCAGCAGUGGGGAAUAUUGCACAAUGGGGGAAACCCUGAUGCCAGCGACGCCGCGUGAGUGAAGAAGUAUUUCGGUAUGUAAAGCUCUUUAAGCAGGGAAGAUAAUGACGGUACCUGCAGAAUAAGCACCGGCUAAAUACGUGCCAGCCGCUGC